UUGAACGCUGGCGGCAGGCUUAACACAUGCAAGUCGAGCGGAUGAAAGUAGCUUGCUACCGGAUUCAGCGGCGGACGGGUGAGUAAUGCUUAGGAAUCUGCCUAUUAGUGGGGGACAACGUUCCGAAAGGAGCGCUAAUACCGCAUACGUCCUACGGGAGAAAGCAGGGGACCUUCGGGCCUUGCGCUAAUAGAUGAGCCUAAGUCGGAUUAGCUAGUUGGUAGGGUAAAGGCCUACCAAGGCGACGAUCUGUAGCGGGUCUGAGAGGAUGAUCCGCCACACUGGGACUGAGACACGGCCCAGACUCCUACGGGAGGCAGCAGUGGGGAAUAUUGGACAAUGGGGGGAACCCUGAUCCAGCCAUGCCGCGUGUGUGAAGAAGGCCUUUUGGUUGUAAAGCACUUUAAGCGAGGAGGAGGCUACCUAGAUUAAUACUUUAGGAUAGUGGACGUUACUCGCAGAAUAAGCACCGGCUAACUCUGUGCCAGCAGCCGCGGUAAUACAGAGGGUGCGAGCGUUAAUCGGAUUUACUGGGCGUAAAGCGUGCGUAGGCGGCCAAUUAAGUCAAAUGUGAAAUCCCCGAGCUUAACUUGGGAAUUGCAUUCGAUACUGGUUGGCUAGAGUAUGGGAGAGGAUGGUAGAAUUCCAGGUGUAGCGGUGAAAUGCGUAGAGA
RNAcentral lists this ribosomal RNA (673 nucleotides) under Acinetobacter radioresistens WC-A-157. RNAcentral describes it as "bacterial SSU rRNA". It matches the Rfam family "Bacterial small subunit ribosomal RNA", at positions 29 to 696 of the family's 1533-position model. The record is from RNAcentral. Lineage: Bacteria; Pseudomonadati; Pseudomonadota; Gammaproteobacteria; Moraxellales; Moraxellaceae.